CAAAAUAUAGCUCAACCAAGAGCAUUCAGCUUACACCUGAAAGAUGUCCACUAAACAGGACUAUUUUGA
This 69-nucleotide transfer RNA is filed under the name Malayemys subtrijuga (Mekong snail-eating turtle). Its description in RNAcentral is "tRNA-Val". Lineage: Eukaryota; Metazoa; Chordata; Testudines; Geoemydidae. The record is from RNAcentral.